This 312-nucleotide ribosomal RNA is filed under the name Triticum aestivum (bread wheat). RNAcentral describes it as "partial small subunit ribosomal RNA". Lineage: Eukaryota; Viridiplantae; Streptophyta; Magnoliopsida; Poales; Poaceae. The record is from RNAcentral.
AUGCGCACACACUCCCUCUCCACCUUCCGCCUCGUCGUGCCCCCCUCCGACCGCGCCCUCUCCGCCCUCCUCGCCGCCUACUACGACGCCGACCAGCCCGCCCGCGCCAUCCAGGCCUUCCGCGACCUCCCAGCCGAGCUCUCAAUCAUGCCGGGCAUCGUGUCCCACAACGUGCUCCUCAAGUGCAUGGUCGCCACGGGGGACGUUGCCGGCGCCCGCCAGGUGUUUGACGGAAUGCCCAGUUCGUCAAAUAGAGUAGUUUUUUUAGAAGUUGAAAUAGAGUUUGCUUGUUCGUGGAUGAGUGAGUGGUGA